This 253-nucleotide ribosomal RNA is filed under the name uncultured bacterium. RNAcentral's name for it is "partial 16S ribosomal RNA". It matches the Rfam family "Bacterial small subunit ribosomal RNA", at positions 524 to 776 of the family's 1533-position model. The record is from RNAcentral.
UACGUAGGGGGCAAGCGUUGUCCGGAAUCAUUGGGCGUAAAGAGCGUGUAGGCGGCCCGAUAAGUCCGUUGUGAAAUCCCUGGGCUCAACCUGGGAAUGGCAGUGGAUACUGGACGGCUAGAAUGCGGUAGAGGGUAGUGGAAUUCCCGGUGUAGCAGUGAAAUGCGUAGAGAUCGGGAGGAACACCAGUGGCGAAGGCGGCUACCUGGACCAGCAUUGACACUCAAGCACGAAAGCGUGGGGAGCAAACAGG